This is a long non-coding RNA of Anneissia japonica, 270 nucleotides long. RefSeq lists it as uncharacterized. The transcript has 3 exons. The record is from RefSeq and is a predicted model, not a curated record. Lineage: Eukaryota; Metazoa; Echinodermata; Crinoidea; Comatulida; Comatulidae.
UUAUGCUAAUACCGUUUAUCGCCAUAUUUCUAAUUGUUGUUACAAGUUUGUUUAUUUGUCGUCAAAGACGGAUUCGGAAAAGACGUAGCAAUCAUGACAACAAGCAGUUAGUCUUAUCAAGAAUCCCAGAUGAAAAUAUACAAAUAAAUUAUGUUGGCGACCCAGUGCAAUCAACUGCAGAAAAUCAUCUUGGAAUUCAAAGUUAUUCCACUCCCAAUGCUGCGGAUACGGAUACGCAGAGAAGUGGCGAAGAAUCUGCAAAUGAGUGCC